RNAcentral lists this ribosomal RNA (253 nucleotides) under uncultured microorganism. RNAcentral's name for it is "partial 16S ribosomal RNA". It matches the Rfam family "Bacterial small subunit ribosomal RNA", at positions 524 to 776 of the family's 1533-position model. The record is from RNAcentral.
UACGUAGGGUGCGAGCGUUAAUCGGAUUUACUGGGCGUAAAGCGUGCGCAGGCGGCCCGUUAAGACAGGUGUGAAAUCCCUGGGCUCAACCUAGGAAUUGCGCUUGUGACUGGCGGGCUCGAGUACGGUAGAGGGGGGUAGAAUUCCAGGUGUAGCAGUGAAAUGCGUAGAGAUCAGGAGGAACACCGAUGGCGAAGGCAGCCCCCUGGGCCUGUACUGACGCUCAUGCACGAAAGCGUGGGGAGCAAACAGG